This 253-nucleotide ribosomal RNA is filed under the name uncultured bacterium. RNAcentral's name for it is "partial 16S ribosomal RNA". It matches the Rfam family "Bacterial small subunit ribosomal RNA", at positions 524 to 776 of the family's 1533-position model. The record is from RNAcentral.
UACGUAGGGGGCCAGCGUUGCUCGGAAUUACUGGGCGUAAAGGGUGCGUAGGCGGUUCGCUAAGUUGGAUGUGAAAACUCUGGGCUUAACCCAGAGCCUGCAUCCAAUACUGACGAGCUAGAGUUCUGGAGGGGGUAGCGGAAUUCCUGGUGUAGCGGUGAAAUGCGUAGAUAUCAGGAGGAACACCGGUGGCGAAGGCGGCUACCUGGACAGAGUCUGACGCUGAGGCACGAAAGCUAGGGGAGCAAACAGG